RNAcentral lists this ribosomal RNA (800 nucleotides) under uncultured bacterium. RNAcentral describes it as "bacterial SSU rRNA". It matches the Rfam family "Bacterial small subunit ribosomal RNA", at positions 8 to 780 of the family's 1533-position model. The record is from RNAcentral.
AGAGUUUGAUCCUGGCUCAGAAUGAACGCUGGCGGCGUGCGUAACACAUGCAAGUCGAACGAGAAAUUCCGGGCUUGCUCGGGAGAGUAAAGUGGCGAACGGGUGAGUAACGCGUGGGUAACCUGCCCCUGAAUCUGGAAUAACUUCGCGAAAGCGAGGCUAAUACCGGAUAUUGUCCCAGGGACCUCGGUUCUUGUGAUGAAAGAUGACCUCUUCACGAAAGUUGUCGUUCAGGGAGGGGCCCGCGUACCAUUAGCUAGUUGGUAGGGUAAUGGCCUACCAAGGCGAUGAUGGUUAGCUGGUCUGAGAGGAUGACCAGCCACACUGGCACUGAAACACGGGCCAGACUCCUACGGGAGGCAGCAGUGAGGAAUUUUGCGCAAUAGCGGAAACCCUGACGCAGCAACGCCGCGUGAGUGAAGAAGGCCCUCGGGUCGUAAAGCUCUGUCAAGUGGGAAAAAAGCUUGUUGGUAAAUAGCCAGCAAGACUGAUGGUACCAUUGAAGGAAGCACCGGCUAACUCCGUGCCAGCAGCCGCGGUAAUACGGAGGGUGCAAGCGUUGUUCGGAAUUACUGGGCGUAAAGGGCGUGCAGGCGGUGUGGUAAGUCAGAUGUGAAAGCCCUGGGCUCAACCCAGGAAGUGCAUUUGAAACUGCCAUGCUUGAGUAUGGGAGAGGAGAGUGGAAUUCCCAGUGUAGAGGUGAAAUUCGUAGAUAUUGGGAGGAACACCCGUGGCGAAGGCGACUCUCUGGACCAAUACUGACGCUGAGGCGCGAAAGCGUGGGGGAGCAAACAGGAUUA